This 326-nucleotide ribosomal RNA is filed under the name uncultured eukaryote. RNAcentral describes it as "partial 18S ribosomal RNA". It matches the Rfam family "Eukaryotic small subunit ribosomal RNA", at positions 1470 to 1796 of the family's 1831-position model. The record is from RNAcentral.
CCCUUAGAUGUUCUGGGCUGCACGCGCGCUACACUGAUGCGCUCAACGAGUUUACGACCUUGCCUGGAAAGGUUGGGUAAUCUUCUUAAAACGCAUCGUGAUGGGGAUAGAUUAUUGCAAUUAUUAAUCUUCAACGAGGAAUUCCUAGUAAGCGCGAGUCAUCAGCUCGUGCUGAUUACGUCCCUGCCCUUUGUACACACCGCCCGUCGCUCCUACCGAUUGAGUGCUCAGGUGAAUAAUUCGGACUGCAGCAAUGUUUGGAUCCCGAACGUUGCAGCGGAAAGUUUAGUGAACCUUAUCACUUAGAGGAAGGAGAAGUCGUAACA